UACAGAGGUCUCGAGCGUUAGGCGGAAUCACUGGGCUUAAAACGUGUGUAGGUGGAUGGGUAAGUACCUUGUGAAAUCCCACGGCUCAACCGUGGAACUGCUUGGUAUACUGCCCGUCUUGAGUCGCUCAGGGGCGAGCGGAACAGAUGGUGGAGCGGUGAAAUGCGUAGAUAUCAUCUGGAACGCCAAUGGUGAAGACAGCUCGCUGGGGGUGUACUGACACUGAGACACGAAAGCCAGGGGAGCAAACGGG
This 253-nucleotide ribosomal RNA is filed under the name uncultured bacterium. Its description in RNAcentral is "partial 16S ribosomal RNA". It matches the Rfam family "Bacterial small subunit ribosomal RNA", at positions 524 to 776 of the family's 1533-position model. The record is from RNAcentral.